RNAcentral lists this ribosomal RNA (274 nucleotides) under uncultured bacterium. RNAcentral's name for it is "partial 16S ribosomal RNA". It matches the Rfam family "Bacterial small subunit ribosomal RNA", at positions 1229 to 1500 of the family's 1533-position model. The record is from RNAcentral.
UAGGCGUAAACAAAGGGAAGCGACCACGUGAGUGUAAGCGAAUCCCAAAAAUAAACGUCUCAGUUCGGAUUGUAGUCUGCAACUCGACUACAUGAAGCUGGAAUCGCUAGUAAUCGCGAAUCAGAAUGUCGCGGUGAAUACGUUCCCGGGUCUUGUACACACCGCCCGUCACGCCAUGGGAGUCAGUAACGCCCGAAGCCGGUGACCCAACCAAUUCAGGAGGGAGCCGUCGAAGGUGGGACCGAUAACUGGGGUGAAGUCGUAACAAGGUACC